UUGGAGGGCAAGUCUGGUGCCAGCAGCCGCGGUAAUUCCAGCUCCAAUAGCGUAUAUUAAAGUUGCUGCAGUUAAAAAGCUCGUAGUUGAAUUUCGGGAUCAUCAUGUCGGUCGUGCCUCGGUACGUACUGGCAUCGUUGGUUUCUCCCUUCUGACGAACCACGAUGUCAUUUAUUUGGUGUUGUGGGGAAUCAGGA
This 197-nucleotide ribosomal RNA is filed under the name uncultured Glomus. Its description in RNAcentral is "partial 18S ribosomal RNA". It matches the Rfam family "Eukaryotic small subunit ribosomal RNA", at positions 548 to 747 of the family's 1831-position model. Lineage: Eukaryota; Fungi; Glomeromycota; Glomeromycetes; Glomerales; Glomeraceae. The record is from RNAcentral.